GCUAAUACCGCAUAAGCGCACAGCUUCGCAUGAAGCAGUGUGAAAAACUCYGGUGGUAUACGAUGGAUCCGCGUCUGAUUAGCUGGUUGGCGGGGUAAAGGCCCACCAAGGCGACGAUCAGUAGCCGGCCUGAGAGGGUGAACGGCCACAUUGGGACUGAGACACGGCCCAAACUCCUACGGGAGGCAGCAGUGGGGAAUAUUGCACAAUGGGGGAAACCCUGAUGCAGCGACGCCGCGUGAGUGAAGAAGUAUYUCGGUACGUAAAGCUCUAUCAGCAGGGAAGAAAAUGACGGUACCUGACUAAGAAGCCCCGGCUAACUACGUGCCAGCAGCCGCGGUAAUACGUAGGGGGCAAGCGUUAUCCGGAUUUACUGGGUGUAAAGGGAGCGUAGACGGCAGCGCAAGUCUGGAGUGAAAUGCCRKGGCYYAACCNYGGAACUGCUUUGGAAACUGUGCAGCUCGAGUGCAGGAGAGGUAAGCGGAAUUCCUAGUGUAGCGGUGAAAUGCGUAGAUAUUAGGAGGAACACCAGUGGCGAAGGCGGCUUACUGGACUGUAACUGACGUUGAGGCUCGAAAGCGUGGGGAGCAAACAGGAUUAGAUACCCUGGUAGUCCACGCCGUAAACGAUGAUUACUAGGUGU
Molecule: ribosomal RNA, 643 nt
Filed under: uncultured bacterium
Lineage: Bacteria
Description: bacterial SSU rRNA
Rfam family: Bacterial small subunit ribosomal RNA
Source: RNAcentral